RNAcentral lists this long non-coding RNA (1525 nucleotides) under Felis catus (domestic cat). RNAcentral describes it as "lncRNA (ENSFCAG00000052935.1)". Lineage: Eukaryota; Metazoa; Chordata; Mammalia; Carnivora; Felidae. The record is from RNAcentral.
GGUGUUCAUAGGCUGGACAGCUCCCCGUUGGGAAGCUGCCCCCAGGAUUUCUGGAUUUAGUGGAAGACUGACCUAGGUGACCUCAUAUGUCGACUCAGGUUCUCCAGCGAUGCAGGUCUUCCUUAAAGUGUCAGGUCCAGGAGAAGAAGGACACCAGUAGGCAGGCCCGGAUGAUUCUCUCUACCCAGCCCUCCUCAACUCCCUCCGGGCCCACCUUCUGAGUAGCAGCAGCUCCAGGGAGGCCCCUGCCUCUCUCUUCGGUCCCCUAGCCUGGGAAAGGGCUCGGGACCCUGCAAGGGGACCGGGAUGGCGAGGUCGCCCAUUGGCUGCGCGGCGCCAUGUGAACGUUGUUGGUUGGUUGGCGGGAGGGAGGAGGAGGCGGUUUCCCGGGUAACGGAGGGGAAGGAGCGGCGGCAGCGGCGGCGGCCCCGGCUGAGGAGCGCUGGCCGGAGCGCGGUGCGAGACCGGCUGGAGGCUGCGGCUCCGCGAAGCCGCGUGGGCGCAGGUAUGGGUCUGACUCCAUGAAGAAAGACGACAGCCCGGGAGGGGAGCAGCCUCUGUGAUGAACGCUCGCAGGAACUGUGAGGGGCGGCUUUGCGAGCAGCGUCGGCGGUGAUUUAUGGGAGUCGGGGGCUGCCGGAGAGGGAUGUGGAUGCUAUCAGCGCGGUGGAUUAAAUGCCCAUUUACAUCGUUACUGACAUAUAAAUUAUCGGUGCCAAGGAGACAGUGAGGGAGAGGAUUUCAGGGGCAGUAAUGUGGCACGUGCCCCAGGACAUGGACUCGUCUUUGCCCAGAUCUGUCCCCUGGGCUCUCAGGAAGCCGGUCUCGGAACUGAAGUAAAGCCCCAAUUCCCAGCUUGCACCAUGCCAGCAGCAGCCGCCCUCAUGGCUGAGGCAGUGAUGGCGAGUGAGGUCCCCGAGUGGGUUUUAAGAAGUCGGGAAGACCUUUGAAGAGGGUCGCGUGCGUUUCCUCGGCUGGAGAGGGCCGUGUCCGGCCGCGUGCAUGCGCCCCUUUUGCCUGGGAUAUUUUCCUCCUCCGUGGAUUUGGAAGCCUCGCUGAAGGAGAGAGGGAUUUUGUUCCUGGGAAAUGGAACCGGUUUCUGAGGCCAGCCAACAGCAGAAGAGAAAGCUGGUCACCCACGGACUGGAAGAUCAAAAGAGGGUGAGUGGGUAGAACUCCCGUCUCUUGGCUUGUGGUGCUGGAAUUGCUAAGCUCCACGCAGAGAACCCAGGUGGUGGUCAGAACCUUGUGUCCUCGUUAUGCUUGCUUGUCUUUCUCGGGUGAAGCAGGCGGGGUGGGGGCUCCUGACUUGCUAGGUCCUAGUGCUGGGCUUGAAGUGCGCGAGGGGACAGAGGAAGAAGGGGGAGAAAACCGCAUUUCGCCCGCAAGCCAGAAAGUCAAAGAUUUAUAAGCUGUUGCUCUAGGAGUUAACAAAAAGUGGUGUGCUCUCGAAGUCGAAUAUGAGCUUAUUUGCACGGAAGCCCCCUUUGGGAUUCACACACUCUUAGCACCUUUUGGAAAUGGC